UGCGACCUCAGAUCAGACGUGACGACCCGCUGAAUUUAAGCAUAUUACUAAGCGGAGGAAGAGAAACUAACCAGGAUUCCCCCAGUAACGGCGAGUGAACAGGGAAGAGCCCAUCGCCGAAUCCCCGGCUGCCGCGGCGGCCGAGGGAGCUGUGGCGUAUGGGAGAGCGCCUGCUCGGCGCUGCUCGGGGGCCCAAGUCCUUCUGAUUGAGGCCUCCUCCCGUGGACGGUGUCAGGCCGGUGGUGGCCCCCGGCGCGCCGGGUCGAGCUUCUCCCUGGAGUCGGGUUGUUUGUGAAUGCAGCCCAAAGCGGGUGGUAAACUCCAUCUGAGGCUAAAUACGGGCACGAGACCGAUAGACGACAAGUACCGUGAGGGAAAGUUGAAAAGAACUCUGAAGAGAGAGUUCAAGAGGACGUGAAACCGUCGAGAGGUAAACGGGUGGGGUCCGCGCAGUCCGCCCGGAGGAUUCAGCCGCGGCGCUCGUUGGCCGGCCGCCGGCGCCGUCUGAACGGAUCCGCCUCAGCCGCUCUGCCGCCGCUCGYGUUGGCAGCACGCGCCCGUAUGACUGCGUCUGCUCGGCGGAGCCGGCCAGCGCCCGGCGCACUUCCUCCGCUCUGGCGGUGCGCCGUGACCGGUUUUCGGGGCGGCCAGGAUCGCCGUGGGGUCUGCGGGCCGGAGGCUGCGAGCCUCCGGCCGGCCCCCGGUGGGAUGGCGUUCGUCCGCCCCGCGACCGAGGGAGAGAGACCGCCAACGCGCCCGCUCUGCCCCGCGGUGGGGGACGUGGAAACGCGCCCCCCCGCCACGGCGGCGGGGCCGGGGCGCCCCGCUCCCCGUCGGGACCGUCGACUGGUGCGGACUGUUCCCAGUGCGUCACCGACCACGGCCCGGCGCUCGGCUGCGGGUGCGCCACCGACCGCGGGCGCCCGGGGU
This 930-nucleotide ribosomal RNA is filed under the name Geotria australis. Its description in RNAcentral is "eukaryotic LSU rRNA". The stretch from base 26 to 374 matches the Rfam family "Eukaryotic large subunit ribosomal RNA", at positions 24 to 358 of the family's 3401-position model. The record is from RNAcentral. Lineage: Eukaryota; Metazoa; Chordata; Hyperoartia; Petromyzontiformes; Geotriidae.